UUAGGCUUGUAAACGGCCCUCAAAGCCCAAGCUUAGCUGGCAGCACACUUAUCGCAUAAUACCAACUACUACCACCAGCUCCGCCGCCGUCACUACACCACUGCCACUACCACUACCACCACCAACUACAUUGAACAUAGCAACCCUAAACCUAGAUAUCUCGAUGGCCACACCUUCCCCGUCUCCAUCUCCACCACCACCGGCAGAACCACCACCAUACUCCUCAAAGCCCAGAACCACCAAAAAACCCCAUCCUGUCCCCUGGACCCACCAAGAAACCGUCCACCUAAUCCAAGCCUACCAAGAAAAAUGGUACUCGUUAAAACGCGGACAGCUUAAAGCCAACCAGUGGGAAGAAGUAGCUGAAACCGUAGCUGCCCGCUGCGGCUACGAAUACAACCACCUGGCGAAAACAGUCAUCCAAUGCCGCCACAAGAUGGAGAAGCUCCGUAAACGUUACCGUGAAGAGAGACGGCGAUUGUCUCUUAAUGGUACCUGUUUCUGGCAGUAUUUUGACCUCAUGGAUUCCCUGGAACGCGGGCCUCUGCCUAUCUCGGCUCGGCCUCUGACUCUAAUACCAGGUAACGAUGACAAUGAAGAGGAUGAUGACGAGGAAGAAGAGGAAGAAGAAGAAGAAGAAUAUGGAUAUAGAAGUAGGUCGCUAAGUAUAAAUUAUAUACUGCAGAAACCGACUAUUGUUAAUAGGUUUGCAGGGAGCGAUUCUAGGCUUUUGCCCGCGGUGAUGAAUAAAAGGAAAAGAGAGGAAAUUGUAGAGGAGGAGGAACAAGAAGAAGAAGAAGAAGAGGAUAGUGGGAAAAGUGUAGAAUUGGAAUUAGCAGGGGAAAUAAGGGCGUUUACGGAGAGGAUAGUUGGAAUGGAGAGGAAGAAGAUGCAAAUGAUGAAGGAGACUGAGAGAUGGAGAAUGGAGAUGGAGAAUAAAAGAAUCGAGAUGAUCUUAGAUUCUCAGAGAAAGAUUGUCGAUAUGAUUUCAACCGCUUUUGGUUCUCCAGAGGAUUUGAAGAUGGAGCAAGAAUUCUGAAGGUUUAAUGCUCUUUAAUUCCAAGACCACUUUCUUGAGGAAUCAAACAGUAAAAACUUUGCUCAUUCUGGAAGUUUGGCCUUGCUCAAUUGGAUUUGACAAGAGAACUAAUAUUCAUUGGAGAAAGGGUCGUUGUGCGUUUGGAAAAUUGGAGUGGUUGAUUAGGUUACAAUGGAUUAAUAUCAUCCUUGUAGAUAUGUACUAGAUCAUGUCCAAAGAAUUGGUUAGAAGAUAAAAGCAAUGGUCAAUCCAUUUUAAAAUGGCGAAAACUCGGAAGGAAGGUUGUUUUGCUGGAAGAUCAUCUAAUUGUGGUUCGCUUUGCUGCUUGUUCAUUUCUUUGUGCUAACUAGAAAAUGCAGCAUUCGAACCAGCAGGCGAAGCACUGAAGCAUUAAGGAAAGAUGCUUAGGAUGUUUGUGUGAGAUAUCAGAUGUGGGAUAUGUUGUCUGUGAAUGCUACUUUUGGAUGAAAAUUUCUUCUUCUUCUUCUUUUCUCUGUAUAUAAAUUUACAGCUAUUCAUUCUAUUGCUUCUAUGUGAUGAUAUAUUAGCAUCGAUUAAGUCAUUUUCGAUCA
This is an RNA transcript of Ricinus communis (castor bean), 1611 nucleotides long. It is a transcript of the gene named trihelix transcription factor ASIL1, with no coding region annotated. Lineage: Eukaryota; Viridiplantae; Streptophyta; Magnoliopsida; Malpighiales; Euphorbiaceae. The transcript has 3 exons. The record is from RefSeq and is a predicted model, not a curated record.